GCGGAUCGAUGGGAGCUUGCUCCCUGAGAUCAGCGGCGGACGGGUGAGUAACACGUGGGUAACCUGCCUGUAAGACUGGGAUAACUCCGGGAAACCGGGGCUAAUACCGGAUAACACCUACCCCCGCAUGGGGGAAGGUUGAAAGGUGGCUUCGGCUAUCACUUACAGAUGGACCCGCGGCGCAUUAGCUAGUUGGUGAGGUAAUGGCUCACCAAGGCGACGAUGCGUAGCCGACCUGAGAGGGUGAUCGGCCACACUGGGACUGAGACACGGCCCAGACUCCUACGGGAGGCAGCAGUAGGGAAUCUUCCGCAAUGGACGAAAGUCUGACGGAGCAACGCCGCGUGAGUGAAGAAGGUUUUCGGAUCGUAAAACUCUGUUGUUAGGGAAGAACAAGUGCCGUUCGAAUAGGGCGGCGCCUUGACGGUACCUAACCAGAAAGCCACGGCUAACUACGUGCCAGCACCCGCCCGUAAUACGUAGGUGGCAAGCGUUGUCCGGAAUUAUUGGGCGUAAAGCGCGCGCAGGUGGUUUCUUAAGUCUGAUGUGAAAGCCCACGGCUCAACCGUGGAGGGUCAUUGGAAACUGGGGAACUUGAGUGCAGAAGAGGAAAGUGGGAAUUCCAAGUGUAGCGGUGAAAUGCGUAGAUAUUUGGAGGAACACCAGUGGCGAAGGCGACUUUCUGGUCUGUAACUGACACUGAGGCGCGAAAGCGUGGGGGAGCAAACAGGAUUAGAUACCCUUGGUAGUCCACGCCGUAACGAUGAGUGCUUAAGUGUUAGAGGGUUUCCGCCCUUUUAGUGCUGGCAGCUUAACGCAUUAAGCAC
This 827-nucleotide ribosomal RNA is filed under the name Bacillus sp. (in: firmicutes). RNAcentral's name for it is "bacterial SSU rRNA". It matches the Rfam family "Bacterial small subunit ribosomal RNA", at positions 66 to 867 of the family's 1533-position model. The record is from RNAcentral. Lineage: Bacteria; Bacillati; Bacillota; Bacilli; Caryophanales; Bacillaceae.